AGUGAACGCUGGCGGUAGGCCUAACACAUGCAAGUCGAACGGCAGCACAGUAAGAGCUUGCUCUUACGGGUGGCGAGUGGCGGACGGGUGAGGAAUACAUCGGAAUCUACUUUUUCGUGGGGGAUAACGUAGGGAAACUUACGCUAAUACCGCAUACGACCUACGGGUGAAAGCAGGGGAUCUUCGGACCUUGCGCGAUUGAAUGAGCCGAUGUCGGAUUAGCUAGUUGGCGGGGUAAAGGCCCACCAAGGCGACGAUCCGUAGCUGGUCUGAGAGGAUGAUCAGCCACACUGGAACUGAGACACGGUCCAGACUCCUACGGGAGGCAGCAGUGGGGAAUAUUGGACAAAGGGCGCAAGCCUGAUCCAGCCAUACCGCGUGGGUGAAGAAGGCCUUCGGGUUGUAAAGCCCUUUUGUUGGGAAAGAAAAGCAGCAGGUUAAUACCCCGCGGUUCUGACGGUACCCAAAGAAUAAGCACCGGCUAACUUCGUG
RNAcentral lists this ribosomal RNA (492 nucleotides) under uncultured bacterium. RNAcentral's name for it is "partial 16S ribosomal RNA". It matches the Rfam family "Bacterial small subunit ribosomal RNA", at positions 29 to 507 of the family's 1533-position model. The record is from RNAcentral.